CUUGACCUCGGAUCAGGUAGGGAUACCCGCUGAACUUAAGCAUAUCAAUAAGCGGAGGAAAAGAAACCAACAGGGAUUGCCCUAGUAACGGCGAGUGAAGCGGCAACAGCUCAAAUUUGAAAUCUGGCUCUUUCAGGGUCCGAGUUGUAAUUUGCAGAGGGCGCUUUGGCGUUGGCAGCGGUCCAAGUUCCUUGGAACAGGACGUCACAGAGGGUGAGAAUCCCGUACGUGGUCGCUGGCCUUCGCCGUGUAAAGCCCCUUCGACGAGUCGAGUUGUUUGGGAAUGCAGCUCUAAAUGGGAGGUAAAUUUCUUCUAAAGCUAAAUACUGGCCAGAGACCGAUAGCGCACAAGUAGAGUGAUCGAAAGAUGAAAAGCACUUUGGAAAGAGAGUCAAAUAGCACGUGAAAUUGUUGAAAGGGAAGCGCUUGCAGCCAGACUUGCCUGUAGUUGCUCAUCCGGGCUUUUGCCCGGUGCACUCUUCUAUAGGCAGGCCAGCAUCAGUUUGGGCGGUUGGAUAAAGGUCUCUAUCACGUACCUCUCUUCGGGGAGGCCUUAUAGGGGAGACGACAUGCAACCAGCCUGGACUGAGGUCCGCGCAUUUGCUAGGAUGCUGGCGUAAUGGCUGUAAGCGGCCCGUCUUGAAACACGGACCAAGGAGUCUAACAUCUAUGCGAGUGUUUGGGUGUCAAGCCCGAGCGCGCAAUGAAAGUGAACGGAGGUGGGACCCCUUUAGGGUGCACCAUCGACCGAUCCAGAAGUCUUCGGAUGGAUUUGAGUAAGAGCAUGGCUGUUGGGACCCGAAAGAUGGUGAACUAUGCUUGAAUAGGGUGAAGCCAGAGGAAACUCUGGUGGAGGCUCGCAGCGGUUCUGACGUGCAAAUCGAUCGUCAAAUUUGGGCAUAGGGGCGAAAGACUAAUCGAACUAUCUAGUAGCUGGUUCCUGCCGAAG
Molecule: ribosomal RNA, 949 nt
Filed under: Leptosphaeria proteicola
Lineage: Eukaryota; Fungi; Ascomycota; Dothideomycetes; Pleosporales; Leptosphaeriaceae
Description: eukaryotic LSU rRNA
Rfam family: Eukaryotic large subunit ribosomal RNA
Source: RNAcentral